RNAcentral lists this ribosomal RNA (523 nucleotides) under Dysphaea ulu. Its description in RNAcentral is "partial 16S ribosomal RNA". It matches the Rfam family "Bacterial large subunit ribosomal RNA", at positions 1819 to 2619 of the family's 2925-position model. Lineage: Eukaryota; Metazoa; Arthropoda; Insecta; Odonata; Euphaeidae. The record is from RNAcentral.
GUCUUCCUGUUUUUAUAGGAAGUCUGACCUGCCCAGUGAUUAUUUUAACGGCCGCGGUAUUUUGACCGUGCAAAGGUAGCAUAAUCAUUAGUCUUUUAAAAGGAGGCUGGAAUGAAAGGUUUGACGAGGCAUUAACUGUCUCAAUUUCAAUUAUUAAAAUUUAACUUUUAGGUUAAAAGGCCUAGAUUUUAUUGGAAGACGAGAAGACCCUAUAGAGCUUUAUGGUUAAUAUUUUAUUUUUAUCAUUAUAUUUAUUGUUUUAACUGUUUUGUUGGGGUGAUGAGAAAUACAAAUUUAACUUUUUUAUUUAUAUUUCAUUUAUUUAUGUUGAUUUUUAGAUCCAUUAUUAUUGAUUGUUAGAAUAAGUUACCUUAGGGAUAACAGCGUAAUCUUCUUUUGGAGUUCUAAUUUAUAAGAAGGAUUGCGACCUCGAUGUUGGAUUAAGAUUAUAUUUGGGUGCAGUAGCUCAUUAGUAUAGGUCUGUUCGACCUUUAAAUUCUUACAUGAUCUGAGUUCAGACCGG